UACGUAGGGCGCAAGCGUUAUCCGGAAUUAUUGGGCGUAAAGAGCUCGUAGGCGGUUUGUCGCGUCUGCCGUGAAAGUCCGGGGCUCAACUCCGGAUCUGCGGUGGGUACGGGCAGACUAGAGUGAUGUAGGGGAGACUGGAAUUCCUGGUGUAGCGGUGAAAUGCGCAGAUAUCAGGAGGAACACCGGUGGCGAAGGCGGUUCUCUGGGCAUGAUCUGACGCUGAGGAGCGAAAGCUAGGGGAGCAAACGGG
This 253-nucleotide ribosomal RNA is filed under the name uncultured bacterium. RNAcentral's name for it is "partial 16S ribosomal RNA". It matches the Rfam family "Bacterial small subunit ribosomal RNA", at positions 524 to 776 of the family's 1533-position model. The record is from RNAcentral.